AAAUCUUGAGCAACUCACCCAUCUUUGUGUUCAACUUGUUGUGUAGGUCACGUAAUCUGAUUUUUUUUUUUUUUAAUCAUAUUAACAAACUAAUCAAGUUUGGCUGAUGUGUUGCAUGCAAAUAUAUAUUCUCAUAUGAUGCAUCAAAUGCAUGUUGAUCAUAUCGAACUGAAUAAAAGAGGAAAUGUACAAAAGCAUACUUAUUAAGACCGUGGGCAAAACAAGGGGCGAUCCACUGUUCUUCUUAUCUAAUAUUCUUU
Molecule: long non-coding RNA, 260 nt
Filed under: Capsella rubella
Lineage: Eukaryota; Viridiplantae; Streptophyta; Magnoliopsida; Brassicales; Brassicaceae
Description: long non-coding RNA (CRUB_LNC002007)
Source: RNAcentral